AUACGUAGGGGGCGAGCGUUGUCCGGAAUGAUUGGGCGCAAAGGGCGCGUAGGCGGCGCGGUAAGUCUGGAGUGAAAGUCCUGCUUUCAAGGUGGGAAUUGCUUUGGAUACUGCCGCGCUUGAGUGCAGGAGAGGUUAUCGGAAUUCCCGGUGUAGCGGUGAAAUGCGUAGAGAUCGGGAGGAACACCAGUGGCGAAGGCGGGUAACUGGACUGCAACUGACGCUGAGGCGCGAAAGUGUGGGGAGCAAACAGGAUUAGAUACCCUGGUAGUCCACACUGUAAACGAUGAAUGCUAGGUGUAAGAGGUAUCGACCCCUUUUGUGCCGGAGUCAACACAAUAAGCAUUCCGCCGGGGGAGUACGGCCGCAAGAAUGAAACUCAAAGGAAUUGACGGGG
RNAcentral lists this ribosomal RNA (397 nucleotides) under uncultured bacterium. Its description in RNAcentral is "partial 16S ribosomal RNA". It matches the Rfam family "Bacterial small subunit ribosomal RNA", at positions 523 to 918 of the family's 1533-position model. The record is from RNAcentral.